GCACUAGCGCGGUGGUCCCACCUGCCCCCAUGCCGACCUCAGAAGUGAAACGCCGUAGCGCCGAUGGUAGUGUGGGGUCUCCCCAUGUGAGAUUAGGGAACUGCC
RNAcentral lists this ribosomal RNA (105 nucleotides) under Klebsiella pneumoniae. The record is from RNAcentral. Lineage: Bacteria; Pseudomonadati; Pseudomonadota; Gammaproteobacteria; Enterobacterales; Enterobacteriaceae.